UCUCUCUCUCUCUCUCUCUCUCUCUCUCUCUCUCUCUCUCUCUCUCCUUUUGCGACGACGACAGCAGUGAAUCGAUGCCGAGAUUGACGACAUCGAUGAAUUGAUGAAGAUGACAUCGGUGAAUCGACGACGAAAGCGGAGGUGAUUCGACGACAACAUCUGUGAUAGGACAACGGCGGCGGCGCCUCGAAGAGGACGACGACGGCUGAGGAAAUUUGGACGCCAAUUGGAUGCUUUUCUGGGCAAAGGUUUCAAUCAAUUUGGAUCAGAAUGGCGUUGGAGGUAUUAGCUUUGUAUUUGGAAGUGAAGAAAAGCGGAGGCAUGAGCUUGGUGGAAUUUUGUCACAUCCCAGGACCCAUUCUGCCGUAAUACGAUAUUGUCCGCUUUGAGCCCACCAGCCCUCACGGUUUUGUUUUCGGCAGCUCAGGAGCAGCUUCCCAAUAGGUCACCCAUCUUGGGAUUGCUCUAGCAUCAACAUGCUUAACCUCGGAGUACCCAUCCCCUCCGAAGCCGCUGAGCCACCAAAAUGCCUCAUGUUAGAUUGGAGGUGGGCAUGUACAUAUACAGCACAUAACCCCUCUCCGUUUGGCCGAUGUGGGAUAUUACAGAUUUGGAGUGGGUUUGUGAGAUCAAAUGAGUUCGAUUUGGUGGAUUUCAAGGGCAGAUUUUGUUAUAUGUGGUCAGAUUUGGAAAUUGCUUGUUAUCUUUAAUUAGAAUUUGAUUUGGGAUUUGAUUUGCUUGUUAUCUUUGGAAUUUGUGUGAUCUAGGAACGAAGUUGGGGGGAGUGGUGUGAGUAAUGUUGCUGGUGGUAAUGGUGGUUUUAGGAUUAGGAUUGUGGCCGGAUUAGUGUUAUUAUGCCUGGGAAUCGACAGUAGCAUCUUCGACAGUAGCAGCAUGCUAGCAUCGACAGUAGCAGCGCGUUAACAUCAUAGAGUCGACAAUAGCAGUGUGCUAGCAUAAGAGUUGGCAGUAGCAGUGUGCUAGCAUAAGAGUUGGCAGUAGCAGCGCG
RNAcentral lists this long non-coding RNA (1009 nucleotides) under Fragaria vesca (wild strawberry). RNAcentral describes it as "long non-coding RNA (FVES_LNC004231)". The record is from RNAcentral. Lineage: Eukaryota; Viridiplantae; Streptophyta; Magnoliopsida; Rosales; Rosaceae.